This 301-nucleotide ribosomal RNA is filed under the name uncultured bacterium. Its description in RNAcentral is "partial 16S ribosomal RNA". It matches the Rfam family "Bacterial small subunit ribosomal RNA", at positions 509 to 807 of the family's 1533-position model. The record is from RNAcentral.
CAGUAGCCGCGGUAAUACGAAGGGGGCUAGCGUUGUUCGGAAUUACUGGGCGUAAAGCGCACGUAGGCGGAUAUUUAAGUCAGGGGUGAAAUCCCGCAGCUCAACUGCGGAACUGCCUUUGAUACUGGGUAUCUUGAGUAUGGAAGAGGUUAGUGGAAUUGCGAGUGUAGAGGUGAAAUUCGUUGAUAUUCGCAGGAACACCAGUGGCGAAGGCGGCUAACUGGUCCAUAACUGACGCUGAGGUGCGAAAGCGUGGGGAGCAAACAGGAUUAGAUACCCGAGUAGUCCCUGUCUCUUAUAC